UACGUAGGUGGCAAGCGUUGUCCGGAUUUACUGGGCGUAAAGAGCGCGCAGGCGGUCGCUCAAGUCGCGUGUGAAAGCCCCCGGCUCAACUGGGGAGGGUCACGCGAUACUGAUCGACUCGAAGGCAGGAGAGGGUAGUGGAAUUCCCGGUGUAGUGGUGAAAUGCGUAGAGAUCCGGAGGAACACCAGUGGCGAAGGCGACACGCUGGGCCGUACCUGACACUGAUACGCGACAGCAUGGGGAGCGAACGGG
This 253-nucleotide ribosomal RNA is filed under the name uncultured bacterium. RNAcentral's name for it is "partial 16S ribosomal RNA". It matches the Rfam family "Bacterial small subunit ribosomal RNA", at positions 524 to 776 of the family's 1533-position model. The record is from RNAcentral.